GACGAACGCUGGCGGCGUGCUUAACACAUGCAAGUCGAACGGAAAGGCCCUGCUUUUGUGGGUUGCUCGAGUGGCGCACGGGUGAGUAACACGUGAGUAACCUGCCCUUGACUUUGGGAUAACUUCAGGAAACUGGGGCUAAUACCGGAUAGGAUCUCCUGCUGCAUGUUGUGGGUUGGAAAGUUUCGGCUGUUGUGGAUGGACUCGCGGCUUAUCAGCUUGUUGGUGGGGUAGUGGCUUACCAAGUCUUUGACGGGUAGCCGGCCUGAGAGGGUGACCGGCCACAUUGGGACUGAGAUACGGCCCAGACUCCUACGGGAGGCAGCAGUGGGGAAUAUUGCACAAUGGGCGGAAGCCUGAUGCAGCAACGCCGCGUGCGGGAUGACGGCCUUCGGGUUGUAAACCGAUUUCGCCGGUGACGAAGAGUGAGUGACGGUAAUGGGUAAAGAAGCACCGGCUAACUACGUG
Molecule: ribosomal RNA, 468 nt
Filed under: uncultured bacterium
Lineage: Bacteria
Description: partial 16S ribosomal RNA
Rfam family: Bacterial small subunit ribosomal RNA
Source: RNAcentral